Ruditapes philippinarum (Manila clam) is the source of this 290-nucleotide long non-coding RNA. RefSeq lists it as uncharacterized. NCBI's taxonomy places the organism in Eukaryota, Metazoa, Mollusca, Bivalvia, Venerida, Veneridae. The transcript is spliced from 3 exons. The record is from RefSeq and is a predicted model, not a curated record.
GUUUUGUCAAUGAUGUGCCCGGGAAUUUAGGGGAAUCUUCAGUUUGUAACACAGAAACUACCACUCUUCCAGGAAAAGUAUAUUUAAGGAGAACACGAGGUCGUUUUUUCACAUUUGCAUUGAAGGCAAACAUAACAGGCGACAUGUCAUUUCAGGUGUUCAUAUCGAGUAUAGAAGCACAAAAUGGUGAGGCAUGCUUUGAAAGUAUUGAAAUAGACGACAAACAGAUACCAAACAGUCAGGUCACUGUUUCCUCUGGAACCACAAAUCACAUAUCAACACAUUUAAAC